CGUGUAGGCGGGAGAGUAUGUCGGUUGUGAAAGCCCUCGGCUCAACCGAGGAAUUGCAGCCGAAACUGCUCUUCUUGAGUACGGGAGAGGGAAGCGGAAUUUCCAGUGUAGAGGUGAAAUUCGUAGAUAUUGGAAAGAACACCAGUGGCGAAGGCGGCUUCCUGGACCGAUACUGACGCUGAGACGCGAAAGCGUGGGGAGCAAACAGGAUUAGAUACCCUGGUAGUCC
RNAcentral lists this ribosomal RNA (229 nucleotides) under uncultured bacterium. RNAcentral describes it as "partial 16S ribosomal RNA". It matches the Rfam family "Bacterial small subunit ribosomal RNA", at positions 568 to 796 of the family's 1533-position model. The record is from RNAcentral.